Molecule: ribosomal RNA, 506 nt
Filed under: uncultured bacterium
Lineage: Bacteria
Description: partial 16S ribosomal RNA
Rfam family: Bacterial small subunit ribosomal RNA
Source: RNAcentral
AUUGAACGCUGGCGGCAGGCCUAACACAUGCAAGUCGAACGGCAGCACAGGAGAGCUUGCUCUCUGGGUGGCGAGUGGCGGACGGGUGAGGAAUACAUCGGAAUCUACUCUGUCGUGGGGGAUAACGUAGGGAAACUUACGCUAAUACCGCAUCCGACCUACGGGUGAAAGCAGUGUAUCUUCGGACCUUGCGCGAUUGAAUGAGCCGAUGUCGGAUUAGGUAGUUGGCGGGGUAAAGGCCCACCAAGGCGACGAUCCGUAGCUGGUCUGAGAGGAUGAUCAGCCAAACUGGAACUGAGACACGGUCCAGACUCCUACGGGAGGCAGCAGUGGGGAAUAUUGGACAAUGGGCGCAAGCCUGAUCCAGCCAUACCGCGUGGGUGAAGAAGGCCUUCGGGUUGUAAAGCCCUUUUGUUGGGAAAGAAAUCCAGCUGGCUAAUACCCGGUUGGGAUGACGGUACCCAAAGAAUAAGCACCGGCUAACUUCGUGCCAGCAGCCGCAGUAA